GAUGAACGCUGGCGGCGUGCCUAAUACAUGCAAGUCGAGCGAACAGAUGAGGAGCUUGCUCCUCUGACGUUAGCGGCGGACGGGUGAGUAACACGUGGAUAACCUACCUAUAAGACUGGGAUAACUUCGGGAAACCGGAGCUAAUACCGGAUAAUAUAUUGAACCGCAUGGUUCAAUAGUGAAAGACGGUUUUGCUGUCACUUAUAGAUGGAUCCGCGCCGCAUUAGCUAGUUGGUAAGGUAACGGCUUACCAAGGCAACGAUGCGUAGCCGAGCUGAGAGGGUGAUCGGCCACACUGGAACUGAGACACGGUCCAGACUCCUACGGGAGGCAGCAGUAGGGAAUCUUCCGCAAUGGGCGAAAGCCUGACGGAGCAACGCCGCGUGAGUGAUGAAGGUCUUCGGAUCGUAAAACUCUGUUAUUAGGGAAGAACAAAUGUGUAAUUAACUAUGCACGUCUUGACGGUACCUAAUCAGAAAGCCACGGCUAACUACGUG
RNAcentral lists this ribosomal RNA (497 nucleotides) under uncultured bacterium. RNAcentral's name for it is "partial 16S ribosomal RNA". It matches the Rfam family "Bacterial small subunit ribosomal RNA", at positions 28 to 507 of the family's 1533-position model. The record is from RNAcentral.